UACGUAGGGGGCGAGCGUUGUCCGGAGUUACUGGGCGUAAAGGGCGCGCAGGCGGUCUGGUAAGUUUGGAGUGACAGUGCUCGGCUUAACUGAGCAAGGCCUUCGAAAACUGCUAGACUUGAGCACUCAAGAGGGACAUAGAAUUCCGGGUGGAGUGGUGAAAUGCGUAGAUAUCCGGAGGAAUACCAAAGGCGAAGGCAGUGUCCUGGGGAGUGUCUGACGCUCAGGCGCGAAAGCCAGGGGAGCAAACGGG
This 253-nucleotide ribosomal RNA is filed under the name uncultured bacterium. Its description in RNAcentral is "partial 16S ribosomal RNA". It matches the Rfam family "Bacterial small subunit ribosomal RNA", at positions 524 to 776 of the family's 1533-position model. The record is from RNAcentral.